Molecule: ribosomal RNA, 464 nt
Filed under: uncultured bacterium
Lineage: Bacteria
Description: partial 16S ribosomal RNA
Rfam family: Bacterial small subunit ribosomal RNA
Source: RNAcentral
GACGAACGCUGGCGGCGUGCUUAACACAUGCAAGUCGAACGGAAAGGCCCUGCUUGCAGGGUACUCGAGUGGCGAACGGGUGAGUAACACGUGGGUGAUCUGCCCUGCACUUCGGGAUAAGCCUGGGAAACUGGGUCUAAUACCGGAUAGGAGCCAUUUUUAGUGUGAUGGUUGGAAAGUUUUUUCGGUGUAGGAUGAGCUCGCGGCCUAUCAGCUUGUUGGUGGGGUAAUGGCCUACCAAGGCGGCGACGGGUAGCCGGCCUGAGAGGGUGGACGGCCACAUUGGGACUGAGAUACGGCCCAGACUCCUACGGGAGGCAGCAGUGGGGAAUAUUGCACAAUGGGCGCAAGCCUGAUGCAGCGACGCCGCGUGGGGGAUGACGGCCUUCGGGUUGUAAACUCCUUUCGCCAGGGACGAAGCUUUUGUGACGGUACCUAGAUAAGAAGCACCGGCUAACUACGUG